CCUCGGUUCUAUUUUGUUGGUUUUCGGGAGUGAGGUAAUGAUUAAGAGGGACUGACGGGGGCAUUCGUACUGCGACGUGAGAGGUGAAAUUCUUGGAUCGUCGCAAGACGCACUACUGCGAAGGCAUUUGCCAAGAAUGUUUUCAUUAAUCAAGAACGAAAGUAACGGGUUCGAAGGCGAUCAGAUACCGCCCUAGUCGUUACCGUAAACAAUAUUGACUGGGAGCAUGUCGGCGUUUCCAAGAACCCGAUAUGAACCCCACGGGAAACCUCAAGUCAAUUACUGGGGGAGUACGAUUGCAAAGUCGAAACUUAAAGGAAUUGACGGAAGGGCACCACCAGGGGUGGAGCCUGCGGCUUAAUUUGACUCAACACGG
Molecule: ribosomal RNA, 376 nt
Filed under: uncultured eukaryote
Lineage: Eukaryota
Description: SSU rRNA
Rfam family: Eukaryotic small subunit ribosomal RNA
Source: RNAcentral